This is a long non-coding RNA of Acanthopagrus latus (yellowfin seabream), 2801 nucleotides long. RefSeq lists it as uncharacterized. The record is from RefSeq and is a predicted model, not a curated record. The transcript has 4 exons. NCBI's taxonomy places the organism in Eukaryota, Metazoa, Chordata, Actinopteri, Spariformes, Sparidae.
AUUCUGUCCGAAGAGUUGCAAUUCAGAGAAUAAAGCCUGUCAUUACUUCUGCCAAUCUGCAUCUGAGUCCUCUUUUUCUGCUCAAGCCUGACAGUAUAUUCUGGCCAGUUAUGGACACAGGAUUUCAAGCGGCUCUCACCAAGGCCUUCGAUCCCGUGAGCUCCUGCUGAGAAAAAGCCCAGGAAUUAAGCACCUUGAAACAAGGUAAAAACUCUGUUUCUGACUACGCCAUUCACUUCCGCACUCUGGCUGCUGAGAGCAGAUGGAACAACACUGCCUUGUACGACAUUUUUCUAAAAGGCUUGGCACCCACAAUUCAAGAUCUCCUCAGCCCCCUGGAUUUACCAACUGGUCUGGAUGCACUCAUCGCACUUGCCAUUCGCACAACAAUCAACGGCUUCAACUCCAACGACAGUGUGAACCGAAGCAGAGAGUCUCAGGAGGAGUUACCACCGCACCUGAGUUAAGAUGGCCGACGCCGCAUCAAUCACCACCUGAAACUCCUUCUCACCUGCAAACAGCGCCAGAUGAUGAGGCCAUGCAGCUGGGCAGGGCUCAGUUGACGCUGGAGGAAUGUCAGAGAAGGCAACAGGAGGGAAGGUGUUUCUAUUGUGGCAGCGUUGGUCAUCUUGUCAGCUCCUGUCUGACCAAGAAACUUCAAUCGACUCAGAAUUUCCGGACCUGACCACAGUUCCACCCUGUUAUCAUCAUCUGAAGGAAGUAUUUAACAAAACUAAAGCUCUGUCUCUUCCUCCACAUCGCCCUUAUGACUGUGCCAUUGACUUAAUUCCAGGAUCCUCUACUCCAUUUCAGGUCCUGAGAAAAAGGCUAUGAAUGACUACAUCUCCGCCUCACUGGAAGCAGGAUUGAUCCACCCCUCGUCUUCACCAGCUGAAGCAGGAUUCUUCUUCGUGGGGAAAAAGGAUGGAUCUCUACGCCCCUGCAUUGACUACAGUCCUCUGAACGACAUCACCAUCAAAAACCGGUACCAUUUUGCUGGUCUCCAGAAGCCGAGAAGGCAUUCUAGAACCUCAAGCAUUGCUUCGCAACGGCCCCCAUCCUCACUCUGCCAGAUCGACAGCACCAAUUUGUGGUGGAGGUGGAUGCGUCCAACGAAGGAGUAGGAGCAGUGUUAUCUCAGUGGUCGGUGAAGGACGGCAAGAUGCACCCUUGUGCCUUCCUGUCGAGACGGUUGUCCAGGGCUGAACGGAACUAUGACGUUGGCAACCGGGAACUACUGGCGGCCAGGAUCCCGAAACAUCAAACCAGAUGUCUUGUCAUGCCUAUUCGAUCCCGAGCCUAAGACCAAGCAAACCGGAACUAUCCUUCCUCUGAACCGUGUGGUUGGAGCGGUGACUUGGCCUAUAGAAAACAAGGUAAAGCAAGCUAACAGUGGAGCCCCAUCACCUCACGGUUGUCUUAACAACUGUCUAUUUGUUCCCGCUGAGCUACGUCCACAGGUGAUUCAUUGGGCUCACACUUCGCUGCUUUCAUGCCAUCUGGAAGUCAAAAGAACCAUGUUCAUCAUAUCCCGGAGGUUCUGGUGACCAGCAAUGGAACUGGAGGUCCGGAAGUACUUGUUCAGCUUGUUCGGUCUGUGCACGGAAUAAGACAGCCUCCAAGGCACACACAGGGCUUCUACAACCACUCCCCAUCCCCUCCAGACCGUGGUCCGACAUCUCCAUCAACUUCGUCACAGGGCUCCCAGUCUCACAAGGAAACACCACGGUUGUCACCAUGGUCGAUCGAUUCUCCAAGAUGGUAAAGUUCAUCGCUCUACCUAAACUACCUUCCGCCGAAGAAACAGCAGACGUUGUGAUGAACAUUGUGUUUUGAGUCCAUGGAUUUUCCAGAGACAUUGUUUCUGACCAGGGGCCUCAGUUUGUUUCCUGGUUCUGGAGGGAGUUUUGCAGACUCAUCGAAGCUGAAGCCAGCCUGACGUCAGGUUAUCAUUCAGAAACGGCCAGACCGAACCCUUCGAUCAGCAACUGGAAACCGGCCUCCGGUGCGUGGUGCACUAGAACCCCUCGACAACACCUGGUCUGGGUAGAGUAUGCACACAAUUCUUACAUCAAUACCUACAUCUGCUACCAGCCUUUCUCCUUUUCAUUGUGCCCUAGGUUAUCAACCUCCUCUGUUUCCAGACAGUGAAAGGGAAGUGUCGGUUCCCUUAGCCCACGCCAUGGUUUGACGUUGCCGCCUCAUCAGGGUAGCCACUCGACAGAUAUUGAUCCGACAAGGUGAUCGGGUAAAGAAGACUGGAUCAUUGGUCGUGCAGCUGUCCGACUUCGUCUGCCCCGGUCCCUUCGAAUCCAUCUGACGUUCACGUAAGUCAGGUUAAACCAGUUAAGGAGAGCACGAUGGUUCCUUACUCAUAGUCUUGAACCAAGAUAAGUAUUGUCACCCUUUAUUUUCUGUUUUGUAUACCUCUGAAGAAGAGUGAUUUUGAGUUGUAAUUUUCUGGUUAGACCUUUUCUUUUCAGAUAAGAUUUUGAUAGCAUUUGUGUUUUCCUCUUUUUGGAGUGUUUUCUGUUCAUUUUCAUAGAUUUGCUAGAGUAGAUAAUUUUGAUAGCCAGUGAGCCUUUUCCUCUUUUGAGUGAUUUUGAUUUAUUAAAUUUUUCAUAGCCCAAGUACUGAGUUCAAAGUAGUUUUCGUCUUUCCUCCUACGGGAGCGUUUUUUGUUCAUUCUGUGUUCUUGUUGUUUGUCUUGUCCUCUGGAUCCAGAGAUUUUCAUAGCCCAUUCAUUUAUCAUUUUGUCUGAAGAGAUACAAAAUCUGAAAAUAAAACCUGUCAUUACUGUU